UUUUAUCGGUACGGGAUGGGGUCGCGUCCUAUCAGGUAGUCGGCGGGGUAACGGCCCACCGAGCCUACGACGGGUAGCCGGCCUGAGAGGGCGACCGGCCACAUUGGGACUGAGAUACGGCCCAGACUCCUACGGGAGGCAGCAGUGGGGAAUAUUGCACAAUGGGCGCAAGCCUGAUGCAGCGACGCCGCGUGCGGGAUGACGGCCUUCGGGUUGUAAACCGCUUUUGAUUGGGAGCAAGCGAGAGUGAGUGUACCUUUCGAAUAAGCACCGGCUAACUACGUGCCAGCAGCCGCGGUAAUACGUAGGGUGCAAGCGUUAUCCGGAAUUAUUGGGCGUAAAGAGCUCGUAGGCGGUUCGUCGCGUCUGGUGUGAAAGUCCAUCGCUUAACGGUGGAUCUGCGCCGGGUACGGGCGGGCUGGAGUGCGGUAGGGGAGACUGGAAUUCCCGGUGUAAC
This 457-nucleotide ribosomal RNA is filed under the name uncultured Bifidobacterium sp. Its description in RNAcentral is "bacterial SSU rRNA". It matches the Rfam family "Bacterial small subunit ribosomal RNA", at positions 210 to 679 of the family's 1533-position model. Lineage: Bacteria; Bacillati; Actinomycetota; Actinomycetes; Bifidobacteriales; Bifidobacteriaceae. The record is from RNAcentral.